UACAGAGGUCCCAAGCGUUGUUCGGAUUUACUGGGCGUAAAGGGUGCGUAGGCGGUUGGGUAAGUCUGACGUGAAAUCUCCGGGCCUAACCCGGAAACUGCGUUGGAUACUACCUGACUAGAGGAAUGGAGGGGAGACUGGAAUACUUGGUGUAGCAGUGAAAUGCGUAGAUAUCAAGUGGAACACCAGUGGCGAAGGCGAGCCUCUGGACAUUUCCUGACGCUGAGGCACGAAAGCCAGGGGAGCAAACGGG
RNAcentral lists this ribosomal RNA (253 nucleotides) under uncultured bacterium. Its description in RNAcentral is "partial 16S ribosomal RNA". It matches the Rfam family "Bacterial small subunit ribosomal RNA", at positions 524 to 776 of the family's 1533-position model. The record is from RNAcentral.